This 460-nucleotide ribosomal RNA is filed under the name uncultured Cellulomonas sp. RNAcentral describes it as "bacterial SSU rRNA". It matches the Rfam family "Bacterial small subunit ribosomal RNA", at positions 920 to 1382 of the family's 1533-position model. The record is from RNAcentral. Lineage: Bacteria; Bacillati; Actinomycetota; Actinomycetes; Micrococcales; Cellulomonadaceae.
CCCGCACAAGCGGCGGAGCAUGCGGAUUAAUUCGAUGCAACGCGAAGAACCUUACCAAGGCUUGACAUACACCGGUAAGCCCAGAGAUGGGUGCCCCUUUGUGGUCGGUGUACAGGUGGUGCAUGGUUGUCGUCAGCUCGUGUCGUGAGAUGUUGGGUUAAGUCCCGCAACGAGCGCAACCCUCGUCCUAUGUUGCCAGCGGGUCAUGCCGGGGACUCAUGGGAGACUGCCGGGGUCAACUCGGAGGAAGUGGGGAUGACGUCAAAUCAUCAUGCCCCUUAUGUCUUGGGCUUCACGCAUGCUACAAUGGCCGGUACAAAGGGCUGCGAUACCGCGAGGUGGAGCGAAUCCCAGAAAGCCGGUCUCAGUUCGGAUUGGGGUCUGCAACUCGACCCCAUGAAGUCGGAGUCGCUAGUAAUCGCAGAUCAGCAACGCUGCGGUGAAUACGUUCCCGGGCCUU